GAAGCAAGGCCUAAACCGGAGAGAUUAAAAAUAUUCCCUGUCUGGUGAUUGCUGAGAACAAAGUGCCACCUAGGGAUGGAGAUAUUUUGACUUCUGCUGAGCUAAGCUAGUUUUUGCCUGUAUUUGGAAAGGGUUUGAGAUCUAUCCGUGUUGUUACAUGUGGGAAGGUGGCGGAAUAGGAGGACCCAAAGCUCACCUCGUCCCAUGGAUACAAAUAGAUAACACUCACAUCAGCAUAAAUAACUCAGAAAAUGACCCAAAGACUGACAGAACAAACUCCACAACUAAAGACAAAGGAGAG
Molecule: long non-coding RNA, 301 nt
Organism: Mustela erminea (ermine)
Lineage: Eukaryota; Metazoa; Chordata; Mammalia; Carnivora; Mustelidae
Exons: 3
Source: RefSeq, a predicted model, not a curated record